Molecule: ribosomal RNA, 475 nt
Filed under: uncultured bacterium
Lineage: Bacteria
Description: bacterial SSU rRNA
Rfam family: Bacterial small subunit ribosomal RNA
Source: RNAcentral
CGCUGGCGGCAGGCCUAACACAUGCAAGUCGAGCGGCAGCGGGAAGUAGCUUGCUACUUUGCCGGCGAGCGGCGGACGGGUGAGUAAUGUCUGGGAAACUGCCUGAUGGAGGGGGAUAACUACUGGAAACGGUAGCUAAUACCGCAUGACCUCGCAAGAGCAAAGUGGGGGACCUUCGGGCCUCACGCCAUCGGAUGUGCCCAGAUGGGAUUAGCUAGUAGGUGGGGUAAUGGCUCACCUAGGCGACGAUCCCUAGCUGGUCUGAGAGGAUGACCAGCCACACUGGAACUGAGACACGGUCCAGACUCCUACGGGAGGCAGCAGUGGGGAAUAUUGCACAAUGGGCGUAAGCCUGAUGCAGCCAUGCCGCGUGUGUGAAGAAGGCCUUAGGGUUGUAAAGCACUUUCAGCGAGGAGGAAGGGUUCAGUGUUAAUAGCACUGUGCAUUGACGUUACUCGCAGAAGAAGCACCGGCU